UUAAGCGACCAAGCGUACACGGUGGAUGCCCUGGCAGUCAGAGGCGAUGAAGGACGUGCUAAUCUGCGAUAAGCGCCGGUAAGGUGAUAUGAACCGUUAUAACCGGCGAUUUCCGAAUGGGGAAACCCAGUGUGACUCGUCACACUAUCAUUAACUGAAUCCAUAGGUUAAUGAGGCGAACCGGGGGAACUGAAACAUCUAAGUACCCCGAGGAAAAGAAAUCAACCGAGAUUCCCCCAGUAGCGGCGAGCGAACGGGGAGGAGCCCAGAGCCUGAAUCAGCAUGUGUGUUAGUGGAAGCGUCUGGAAAGGCGCGCGAUACAGGGUGACAGCCCCGUACACAAAAGCGCAUAUACUGUGAGCUCGAUGAGUAGGGCGGGACACGUGGUAUCCUGUCUGAAUAUGGGGGGACCAUCCUCCAAGGCUAAAUACUCCUGACUGACCGAUAGUGAACCAGUACCGUGAGGGAAAGGCGAAAAGAACCCCGGCGAGGGGAGUGAAACAGAACCUGAAACCGUGUACGUACAAGCAGUGGGAGCACAGGUUUACCUGUGUGACUGCGUACCUUUUGUAUAAUGGGUCAGCGACUUAUAUUCUGUAGCAAGGUUAACCGCAUAGGGGAGCCGAAGGGAAACCGAGUCUUAAUUGGGCGUUAAGUUGCAGGGUAUAGACCCGAAACCCGGUGAUCUAGCCAUGGGCAGGUUGAAGGUUGGGUAACACUAACUGGAGGACCGAACCGACUAAUGUUGAAAAAUUAGCGGAUGACCUGUGGCUGGGGGUGAAAGGCCAAUCAAACCGGGAGAUAGCUGGUUCUCCCCGAAAGCUAUUUAGGUAGCGCCUCGUGAAUUCAUCUCCGGGGGUAGAGCACUGUUUCGGCUAGGGGGCCAUCCCGGCUUACCAACCCGAUGCAAACUGCGAAUACCGGAGAAUGUUAUCACGGGAGACACACGGCGGGUGCUAACGUCCGUCGUGAAGAGGGAAACAACCCAGACCGCCAGCUAAGGUCCCAAAGUCAUGGUUAAGUGGGAAACGAUGUGGGAAGGCCCAGACAGCCAGGAUGUUGGCUUAGAAGCAGCCAUCAUUUAAAGAAAGCGUAAUAGCUCACUGGUCGAGUCGGCCUGCGCGGAAGAUGUAACGGGGCUAAACCAUGCACCGAAGCUGCGGCAGCGACACUGUGUGUUGUUGGGUAGGGGAGCGUUCUGUAAGCCGUUGAAGGUGUGUCGUGAGGCAUGCUGAAGGUAUCAGAAGUGCGAAUGCUGACAUAAGUAACGAUAAAGCGGGUGAAAAGCCCGCUCGCCGGAAGACCAAGGGUUCCUGUCCAACGUUAAUCGGGGCAGGGUGAGUCGACCCCUAAGGCGAGGCCGAAAGGCGUAGUCGAUGGGAAACGGGUUAAUAUUCCCGUACUUGGUGUUACUGCGAAGGGGGGACGGAGAAGGCUAUGUUGGCCGGGCGACGGUUGUCCCGGUUUAAGCGUGUAGGCUGACUUUCCAGGCAAAUCCGGAGAGUCAAGGCUGAGGCGUGACGACGAGGCACCACGGUGCUGAAGCAACAAAUGCCCUGCUUCCAGGAAAAGCCUCUAAGCAUCAGGUAACAUCAAAUCGUACCCCAAACCGACACAGGUGGUCAGGUAGAGAAUACCAAGGCGCUUGAGAGAACUCGGGUGAAGGAACUAGGCAAAAUGGUGCCGUAACUUCGGGAGAAGGCACGCUGACAUGUAGGUGAAGCGGUUUACCCGUGGAGCUGAAGUCAGUCGAAGAUACCAGCUGGCUGCAACUGUUUAUUAAAAACACAGCACUGUGCAAACACGAAAGUGGACGUAUACGGUGUGACGCCUGCCCGGUGCCGGAAGGUUAAUUGAUGGGGUCAGCGCAAGCGAAGCUCCUGAUCGAAGCCCCGGUAAACGGCGGCCGUAACUAUAACGGUCCUAAGGUAGCGAAAUUCCUUGUCGGGUAAGUUCCGACCUGCACGAAUGGCGUAAUGAUGGCCAGGCUGUCUCCACCCGAGACUCAGUGAAAUUGAACUCGCUGUGAAGAUGCAGUGUACCCGCGGCAAGACGGAAAGACCCCGUGAACCUUUACUAUAGCUUGACACUGAACAUUGAGCCUUGAUGUGUAGGAUAGGUGGGAGGCUUUGAAGCGUGGACGCCAGUCUGCGUGGAGCCGACCUUGAAAUACCACCCUUUAAUGUUUGAUGUUCUAACGUGGACCCGUGAUCCGGGUUGCGGACAGUGUCUGGUGGGUAGUUUGACUGGGGCGGUCUCCUCCUAAAGAGUAACGGAGGAGCACGAAGGUUGGCUAAUCCUGGUCGGACAUCAGGAGGUUAGUGCAAUGGCAUAAGCCAGCUUGACUGCGAGCGUGACGGCGCGAGCAGGUGCGAAAGCAGGUCAUAGUGAUCCGGUGGUUCUGAAUGGAAGGGCCAUCGCUCAACGGAUAAAAGGUACUCCGGGGAUAACAGGCUGAUACCGCCCAAGAGUUCAUAUCGACGGCGGUGUUUGGCACCUCGAUGUCGGCUCAUCACAUCCUGGGGCUGAAGUAGGUCCCAAGGGUAUGGCUGUUCGCCAUUUAAAGUGGUACGCGAGCUGGGUUUAGAACGUCGUGAGACAGUUCGGUCCCUAUCUGCCGUGGGCGCUGGAGAAUUGAGGGGGGCUGCUCCUAGUACGAGAGGACCGGAGUGGACGCAUCACUGGUGUUCGGGUUGUCAUGCCAAUGGCACUGCCCGGUAGCUAAAUGCGGAAGAGAUAAGUGCUGAAAGCAUCUAAGCACGAAACUUGCCCCGAGAUGAGUUCUCCCUGAGACUUAAAGUCUCCUGAAGGAACGUUAAAGACGAUGACGUUGAUAGGCCGGGUGUGUAAGCGCAGCGAUGCGUUGAGCUAACCGGUACUAAUGAACCGUGAGGCUUAACCUU
This 2903-nucleotide ribosomal RNA is filed under the name Salmonella enterica subsp. salamae serovar Greenside. RNAcentral's name for it is "bacterial LSU rRNA". It matches the Rfam family "Bacterial large subunit ribosomal RNA". The record is from RNAcentral. Lineage: Bacteria; Pseudomonadati; Pseudomonadota; Gammaproteobacteria; Enterobacterales; Enterobacteriaceae.